CAAAUCCAGAGCCCUUUUUCGUUUUCGUUUUCUCUCUCCCUCAAACAUCUGUAUUUGGAUCUGGAUUGGAUGUGCUAUCUCUUCACAAUUCACCACAAGUUAUGCCGGAGGGAGAUUUGAUUUGCUGAAAGAUCAAGACCACGACCAGUUACGCCCCUGAUGAUGAAGAAGACGAAGAUGACGUUGAUGGUGAGUUAUGUAUCAGAGAUUCAGAGCAAGCCCUAACCCUAGAUUUCAAUAAUGUCAUCCAAGCAAGGUUCUGCACAAUUGUUCUUCUCCAUGGUUUUUGUUUACAUGAAUUUUGAAAUUUUACUAAAGUUAGUAUGUUAUGUCUCUGUUAUAAUUUGAUUUGUCAAAAAAAAAAAAAAAAAAAAAAAUCUUGCUGCAAAGGUGGAAAAGUGAAGCCACUAAACCAACCAAAGGCUGAAAAGAAAGAAUACAAUGAGAUCUGUGGCGCGAUGGUGGAGCUUUUCA
Molecule: long non-coding RNA, 474 nt
Organism: Helianthus annuus (common sunflower)
Lineage: Eukaryota; Viridiplantae; Streptophyta; Magnoliopsida; Asterales; Asteraceae
Exons: 4
Source: RefSeq, a predicted model, not a curated record